This 385-nucleotide ribosomal RNA is filed under the name uncultured bacterium. RNAcentral describes it as "bacterial SSU rRNA". It matches the Rfam family "Bacterial small subunit ribosomal RNA", at positions 338 to 737 of the family's 1533-position model. The record is from RNAcentral.
CCUACGGGAGGCAGCAGUGGGGAAUAUUGGACAAUGGGGGAAACCCUGAUCCAGCAAUGCCGCGUGAGUGAUGAAGGCCUUCGGGUUGUAAAGCUCUUUUGUUAGGGAAGAUAAUGACGGUACCUAACGAAUAAGCACCGGCUAACUUCGUGCCAGCAGCCGCGGUAAUACGAAGGGUGCUAGCGUUGUUCGGAAUGACUGGGCGUAAAGGGAGCGUAGGCGGUUUUGUACGUUUGGUGUGAAAGUCCUGGGCUUAACCUGGGGACUGCACUGAAUACGGCAAGACUUGAGAUAUUGAGGGGAACGAUGGAAUUGUGUGUGUAGAGGUGAAACUUCGUAGAUAUACCACAAGAACACCAAUGGCGAAGGCAAUCUUCUGGCAAUC